GACGAACGCUGGCGGCGUGCUUAACAUAUGCAAGUGGAGCGACGAACCAGGCUUCGGCCUGGGGCAAAGCCGCGAACGGGUGAGUAACACGUGGGUAACCUGCCCCGAUGAUCGGGACAACCCGGGGAAACCCGGGCUAAUACCGAAUGUGCACCUGCCACAUCAGUGGCAGCUGGAAAGGAAGCUUCGGCCUCCGCAUCGGGAUGGGCCCGCGGCCCAUUAGCUUGUUGGUGAGGAACGGCUCACCAAGGCUGCGAUGGGUAGCUGGUCUGAGAGGACGAUCAGCCACACUGGGACUGAGACACGGCCCAGACUCCUACGGGAGGCAGCAGUGGGGAAUCUUGCGCAAUGCGCGAAAGCGUGACGCAGCAACGCCGCGUGGGGGAAGACGG
This 392-nucleotide ribosomal RNA is filed under the name uncultured bacterium. Its description in RNAcentral is "bacterial SSU rRNA". It matches the Rfam family "Bacterial small subunit ribosomal RNA", at positions 28 to 414 of the family's 1533-position model. The record is from RNAcentral.